GCGUAGUCGAUGGGAAACAGGUUAAUAUUCCUGUACUUGGUGUUACUGCGAAGGGGGGACGGAGAAGGCUAUGUUGGCCGGGCGACGGUUGUCCCGGUUUAAGCGUGUAGGCUGGUUUUCCAGGCAAAUCCGGAAAAUCAAGGCUGAGGCGUGACGACGAGGCACUACGGUGCUGAAGCAACAAAUGCCCUGCUUCCAGGAAAAGCCUCUAAGCAUCAGGUAACAUCAAAUCGUACCCCAAACCGACACAGGUGGUCAGGUAGAGAAUACCAAGGCGCUUGAGAGAACUCGGGUGAAGGAACUAGGCAAAAUGGUGCCGUAACUUCGGGAGAAGGCACGCUGACACGUAGGUGAAGUGAUUUACUCAUGGAGCUGAAGUCAGUCGAAGAUACCAGCUGGCUGCAACUGUUUAUUAAAAACACAGCACUGUGCAAACACGAAAGUGGACGUAUACGGUGUGACGCCUGCCCGGUGCCGGAAGGUUAAUUGAUGGGGUCAGCGCAAGCGAAGCUCCUGAUCGAAGCCCCGGUAAACGGCGGCCGUAACUAUAACGGUCCUAAGGUAGCGAAAUUCCUUGUCGGGUAAGUUCCGACCUGCACGAAUGGCGUAAUGAUGGCCAGGCUGUCUCCACCCGAGACUCAGUGAAAUUGAACUCGCUGUGAAGAUGCAGUGUACCCGCGGCAAGACGGAAAGACCCCGUGAACCUUUACUAUAGCUUGACACUGAACAUUGAGCCUUGAUGUGUAGGAUAGGUGGGAGGCUUUGAAGUGUGGACGCCAGUCUGCAUGGAGCCGACCUUGAAAUACCACCCUUUAAUGUUUGAUGUUCUAACGUGGACCCGUAAUCCGGGUUGCGGACAGUGUCUGGUGGGUAGUUUGACUGGGGCGGUCUCCUCCUAAAGAGUAACGGAGGAGCACGAAGGUUGGCUAAUCCUGGUCGGACAUCAGGAGGUUAGUGCAAUGGCAUAAGCCAGCUUGACUGCGAGCGUGACGGCGCGAGCAGGUGCGAAAGCAGGUCAUAGUGAUCCGGUGGUUCUGAAUGGAAGGGCCAUCGCUCAACGGAUAAAAGGUACUCCGGGGAUAACAGGCUGAUACCGCCCAAGAGUUCAUAUCGACGGCGGUGUUUGGCACCUCGAUGUCGGCUCAUCACAUCCUGGGGCUGAAGUAGGUCCCAAGGGUAUGGCUGUUCGCCAUUUAAAGUGGUACGCGAGCUGGGUUUAGAACGUCGUGAGACAGUUCGGUCCCUAUCUGCCGUGGGCGCUGGAGAACUGAGGGGGGCUGCUCCUAGUACGAGAGGACCGGAGUGGACGCAUCACUGGUGUUCGGGUUGUCAUGCCAAUGGCACUGCCCGGUAGCUAAAUGCGGAAGAGAUAAGUGCUGAAAGCAUCUAAGCACGAAACUUGCCCCGA
RNAcentral lists this ribosomal RNA (1408 nucleotides) under Salmonella enterica subsp. enterica serovar Newport. RNAcentral's name for it is "partial 23S ribosomal RNA". It matches the Rfam family "Bacterial large subunit ribosomal RNA", at positions 1409 to 2802 of the family's 2925-position model. Lineage: Bacteria; Pseudomonadati; Pseudomonadota; Gammaproteobacteria; Enterobacterales; Enterobacteriaceae. The record is from RNAcentral.